Non-coding RNA from Epichloe festucae Fl1, 118 nucleotides. Lineage: Eukaryota; Fungi; Ascomycota; Sordariomycetes; Hypocreales; Clavicipitaceae. The record is from the annotation of a GenBank genome assembly.
GGCAGAAUGGCCGAGUGGUCUAUGGCGACGGUCUCAAGCACAUGGAAUAUGGUGUUUCGCUCCGCAAGGGAGUGUUCCGUUCACGAAAGUGGCCGGGGUUCGAAUCCCCGUUCUGUCA